RNA transcript from Mus musculus (house mouse), 3896 nucleotides. It is a transcript of the gene named TUB like protein 3, with no coding region annotated. The record is from RefSeq and is marked validated. Lineage: Eukaryota; Metazoa; Chordata; Mammalia; Rodentia; Muridae. The transcript is spliced from 11 exons.
ACACACCAGAAGGCAUCAGACCCCAUUACAGAUGGUUAUGAGCCACCAUGUGGUUGCUGGGAAUGGAACUCAAGACCUCUGGAAGAGCAGUCGGUGCUCUUAACUGCUGAGCCAUCUCGCCAGCCCGUGUCAAGACCUUGUGAUCUAGAAUUGCCUAAAGAGUGCCUUUGACGAUGAGACCCUGAGGCUUCGGCAGCUGAAGCUGGACAAUCAGAGGGCACUGCUGGAGAAGAAGCAGAGAAAGAAGCGCCUUGAGCCACUCAUGGUACAGCCAAACCCAGAAGCCAGGCUGCGAAGGUUAAAGCCACGAGGCAGUGAGGAGCACACGCCUCUGGUGGACCCUCAGAUGCCUCGCAGCGACGUCAUCCUACACGGCAUCGACGGUCCAGCUGCUUUCCUUAAGCCAGAGGCUCAGGAUUUGGAAAGCAAGCCUCAGGUUCUCUCUGUGGGCUCCCCUGCCCCAGAAGAAGGCACGGAAGGGAGUGCAGAUGGGGAAAGCCCCGAGGAGACAGCCCCCAAGCCAGACCUUCAGGAGAUUCUCCAAAAACACGGCAUCUUGAGUAGUGUGAACUAUGACGAGGAGCCUGACAAGGAGGAAGAUGAGGGGGGAAACCUCAGCUCCCCGUCGGCUCGCUCAGAGGAGAGUGCUGCAGCCAGCCAGAAAGCAGCCUCGGAGACAGGAGCUUCCGGUGUGACAGCCCAGCAGGGUGACGCCCAGCUUGGAGAAGUGGAGAAUUUAGAGGACUUUGCGUAUAGCCCUGCCCCUCGGGGUGUCACGGUGAAGUGUAAAGUAACCAGGGAUAAGAAAGGCAUGGACCGUGGCCUCUUCCCCACCUACUAUAUGCACCUGGAACGGGAGGAGAACCGCAAGAUAUUUCUUCUAGCCGGUAGAAAGCGGAAAAAGAGCAAAACGUCCAACUACCUGGUCUCCACAGACCCGACAGAUUUGUCUCGUGAAGGGGAAAGUUACAUUGGCAAACUCAGAUCCAAUCUCAUGGGGACCAAGUUCACAGUGUAUGACCAUGGUGUCAACCCAGUCAAGGCCCAGGGUCUGGUGGAGAAGGCCCACACCCGCCAGGAGCUGGCUGCUAUCUGUUAUGUAAGUGCUCCCCUUGCCUCCCCUAGUGCUCCCCGCUGUGCCCUCCUGCAUGCCUGCCAGACCCCCAAGCCGGCUCUUCUCCAUCCUCCUUCCAUGUUUCCUUGACCCCCUUCUAGGGGCUGACAUCAUUUAGAUGACCACUUCAGUUACGAUCAACUCUGCAUUAGCCUUCCUUUACUGAUGCUUAAAUUUACGCUUUGGUCAGAGGCUACAGUAAAACAUAAAUUAAGAUUAAAACCAGCUCUUUGCAUUUAAUCUUUCCCUCCUUCCCUCCACUCUUUCCUCUUUCUUCCUUUUUUUUUUUUUUUUUUUUUUUUUUGGUUGUUGUUGUUUUUGUUUUGUUGUUUUCUUUCUAGGCAGGGUCUCCUUGUCUGCCCUAGCCUUCUGCAUAUUCCAGGCUGGCCUCAAACUCUCAACCUUCCUGCUUCAACCUGCUGAGUUCUGGGAUUAAAGGAAACAAAUGUCCUCGGUUUCAAAGGUCCCAGGAAAAUGUCUGUGAUCAUCCCGGGGAUGAACAUGAACCAUGAGCGCAUCCCUUUCAGGCCACGAAAUGAACACGAGAGCUUGCUUUCAAAAUGGCAAAACAAAUCCAUGGAGAACCUGAUCGAGCUGCACAACAAGGCCCCGGUGUGGAAUGACGACACCCAGUCCUACGUGCUGAACUUUCACGGCAGAGUCACCCAGGCAUCCGUGAAAAACUUCCAGAUCGUCCACGGGAAUGACCCUGACUACAUCGUCAUGCAGUUUGGACGCGUGGCUGAUGACGUGUUCACACUGGACUAUAACUACCCACUGUGCGCACUUCAAGCCUUCGCCAUCGGGCUGUCCAGCUUUGACAGCAAGCUGGCGUGUGAAUGAGAAGCAGCAAGCAGGGGAUUUCUUCACCACAGAGCCUUCAAGAGCAGAAAGCUGCUGCCUCUGCCCCUGCCCCUGCCCCUGCCCCUGCCCCUGCCCCUGCCCCUGCCCCUGCCCCUGCCCCUGCCCCUGCCCCUGCCCCUGCCCUAGCACAAGAAGAGCAACAUUCUGCCCCUCUGGUGAAUGAUCCAGUGUGUGUGUGUGUGUGAAUGUGCAUGUGUGUGUUUGUUUAUACAUGCAUACACAUUCACACAUGGAUGCAUGCUUCCACGUACUCGUUCAUGCCUUCUCUGAACUUCAGAGACCUGGUCAUAGAUUACAACUUCUCAUGUGUGAGAGAUGGCUUAAAGCACAGGGAAGUAGACACCCAGGCACACUGGUGUCUCCUGAUCGCACAACAGACUCUGUGUGGUGAGUGUAGCUUUCAUGUGCUCGGGCACUUCCAACAGAAUCAGGUUCUAAUGAUUUAAUACUUGGGCCUCCUGUUUUGAAGGCCCUUUCAAAAGGGGGCUUUUCCCUUGGAUGCCUUUAGCCCAGGAGCCUGCAGCCUUCCUCAGCCAAUGGUCUGAUAGUGUCUCUUGCACUGACCCCAGUCAGGUCCUUUAGCACAAAACAGCCAUAACUAGUUGGUGCACAAAGAGUGUAGCUGUGUCCCAAUAAAACUUUAUUUACAAAGUGGGCAUUGGCCUAGUUUGGCCUGUGACUCUGGUUCGCAGGCCUGCCUUGGCUGUGUCCCUGUCCUCCAAGGCUGGAGCAUCUUCCAGGCUAGAUGUGGAGAGGCGGGGGGUGGUUUACUUUUCAGUAGCAGCAGACUGACAUUUUAUUUUUAUUUUUACUUUAUUUUUUUUUCCCAUGGAUCUCUGUGUAGCCCUGGCUAUCCUGGAACUUAUUCUGUAGACCAGGCUGGCCUCAGAGAUCCACCUGCCUCUGCCCCCCAAGUGCUGGAAUUAAAGGCUUACACUACUGUGCCUGGCCAUAGACAGACUCUUAAGAGGAAUUCUUGCCGAAUCUACUCUUGGUAGCUUUUGCCUCAUGGAGAUUAUGGCUGCAGAGUGUCAUAUAUCAUCUUGGGACAUGUGACACUAGUUUGUUCGUGGGUCUGAAAGGCUCUGCUGUCCCCAGCCUGCCUCUUGCUUAUUCUCAGAGUAGGUUGGUGGGCAGCCAUCUCAGAAGCAUGACUGUGGCCAGAUCUUCGGAAUCUUUGCUCUCUGGAAUCUUAAUCUAGUGUCUCCUUAGAGGCAGCAAGAGUCUUGGUGAGGAGGUCACCUCGCCGACACUCCACAGGCUUUGCCUGUCAGCUUUGUCCUCCAGCCUCGAAACCUGGCCCACACCAGUGGAGACACUGCCCUGCAUGCUGAGUCUUUGAGAUCUUGAACAUCUCGAACAUCUCCCAGCGAAUCAUGACAAAUUCCUCAAGGUCCCCAGCCUACAGUGUACCUGAACUUAAGAAUUCAAAAACUUUGGGUCUACAUUCAGUGGUCCCCCACUCUCAAACUGGCAACUGCUCCGUGGUUUUUCCUGUAUGGAGGAGGUCCCUGCAUCCCUGCAUCCUGUUGCUCCAUGCUCACAGCUGUGUGACGACUACAGCGUGAGAUCUGGGAGGUGAGACCUGUGCUAAGGCCAGUGUCUUGCCUGUCCCUUCAGAUGUCACUGUCUCUGCCUCUGGCAGGCGUCCCAUCAAGUGCCUUGUUCAUAAAUGUGCUCUGAAACCUGACACACCUCUGCUUUCCCAGACGAGCCACCUUUGUUGAGUGAAAACUGCUCUCUGUCUCCACUUGAAGGGGGUGGGGCUAUGACUUUCUGCCCAGCCUAGAGAGCUGUAUACUCCCAUUUCAUGGACUCUGCUUGAGUGUGCAGGUUUUACAUGAAUUCUAUUUAUACCUUUUGUAUGCCACAUAAAUAAAGAUAAUUUAUAUAAAGAUGUCGCUUUCCCAGAAUACCA